Molecule: ribosomal RNA, 253 nt
Filed under: uncultured bacterium
Lineage: Bacteria
Description: partial 16S ribosomal RNA
Rfam family: Bacterial small subunit ribosomal RNA
Source: RNAcentral
UACGAAGGGGGCUAGCGUUGCUCGGAAUGACUGGGCGUAAAGGGCGCGUAGGCGGCGACCACCGUCAGAUGUGAAAUGCCCGGGCUUAACCUGGGAACUGCAUUUGUGACUGCAUGGCUAGAGUUUGGCAGAGGGGGGUAGAAUUCCACGUGUAGCAGUGAAAUGCGCAGAUAUCAGGAGGAACACCAGUGGCGAAGGCGGCUUCCUGGACCGACACUGACGCUGAGGCGCGAAAGCUAGGGGAGCAAACGGG